Callithrix jacchus (white-tufted-ear marmoset) is the source of this 1824-nucleotide long non-coding RNA. RefSeq lists it as uncharacterized. Lineage: Eukaryota; Metazoa; Chordata; Mammalia; Primates; Cebidae. The record is from RefSeq and is a predicted model, not a curated record.
CACGGUGGCCUGCUCCUCUGAGCCACCACACUCCACCUGCACUUGUUUACCGCCGGAGAGCUGGGGUCUGCCAUCACUGGCCUCUCAAGGAGCCUGUGCCUCCAGCAGCCACCGGGAUCCACCAGGACUAUGACCGUCCUGCCAAGCAGACCCAGGGAAGGUGUGCUGGCCACUGUGGAUGAGAGGCAGGCUCCCACCUGCAGGGUGUUCACUCAUGGCUCCUUCCAGUAAGUCAAGCAAGAUGGAAACACUUGAGUGAUGCAAGGCGGCGCUGCUCGGGAAAAGAGACACCGAUAUGCCACAUCAGUGAGGACCACCAGAAAAGACCAUUCCUUUCCAAAUUCCAAGCCUCAACAAAAGCGACCACAGCAGCCCAGACUCCUGUCUCUAAUCCCUACCUCCAUAUGCAGACAAAGGGUGGGGCUCUUUAGGCCUGAGCUCAUGGGGUUUCAUAUCAGUCCAACAAGGCAGAAUGCAUCCUUCCUGACAGACAAGGAUAGGCUGGGGACCAGAGAGACCCAGCUGACUCCACAGGGCAGAGCUGACACAGAGCCAGGGGAGGGCUGUGGCGGCCCACACUGCCUGUCUCUACAAGGCUAAGCAACUCCUCAUGCUGGCUGCUGAGCUGAGAGGUCACAGCUCUGUCCUAUAGCACCCUGGCCAAGUUUUCCAUGAAAUCAUCCAAAGCCAACAGGAGUUCCAGGAACCGUCCAUCUGUAGCUGCAGCUUCCUCCCUGGCUGUGGGAAUUUUCAGAUCCCUUGGGCCUGGGCUAAGUCCACUCUCCAUACAUGCAGGGGAAACACACCAGAGGGCCAGCCCUUGUUCCUAGACACGGCCCUGGCCCGUGACAAGCCCACCCAGACCCAGGGACAUGCAGACCUCCCUAACUGGCUAAUGUCUCCCUAGUAGCCAAUUACAGCAUUCACUGAGGGACUAGGCAGUCAUGCAGAGGCCAAGCUCUAAAGAUCACCCACCCCAGCCUGUCCCCCGACACCCCAGACAUACAGACCCACAGCUGCAUCCCUGUGCAAAUGCCAUAAUCCCAGCUUGGCUGCACGAACAUGCACACCUCUCCCAUUCAUGGCAGCGGGCCCAAAAGACAGGCAACAGGCAGGAAGCAGCUGGACACUAGGGUAAGAUGAGGAAGGCCAGCCCUCAGCCCCUUCUCCUCUGCACAGAGUGAUGGAGAGAUGAGGAGGGGUGAUGGAUACCGACCCAGGCCUGAAGAACACCUGAUGCAGCAGCAUAGAACACACCGAUGAGAAAUGGGCCCCAUUUCCAUCCCCCACAUCCUUCAGGAUGACCACUGAAGCUGCAAAGAAUCAAUUUUCUGCAGCUUCUUCGGAAGCCAGGACUUAUCUUCUGAGUGUGCAGAGCUAUUGGCUCAGCUGUUUCCCAUCAGCUUCCUACAUGCUUCCAGGCAGAGCAAGGCCCACUGCCUCCUUCUUCUUCUCUCCCCAGUGGUCAAACCCACACCCAGGAGUAGACUCCUGGGAAAAGCAGAGGGUCUUGACUUGGGAAAAUCAAGCCAGGUAUCAGGGACUCACCUUGGAUACCACCACUUCAUGUCACUUGCAAAGGACCUCGCACAUGCCCCAGCUAGGAGACAAGGCUAAAGUCUGGGGAGUCAGAGGACUAGAGAGAAGAGAGAAGAGGCGGGACCAAAGAGCCGCUGGACCCCAGAUUCACGGGCACAGAUGCAAUCUCUAGGUGGUAAUAUCAGGGCCACCGCUUCUCCGUGUCAGUCUUUAUUUACUGAGUGCCGACUGCCCAGGACCCUGUGCCAGAGCUGUGACCCAACCCCAUCCAGCCCGAGCUGCAGG